GAAAUAUAGCACCGAAGCUGCGGCAUCAGUAGCAAUACUGUUGGGUAGGGGAGCGUUGUGUAAGCGGAUGAAGGUGUGUUGAGAAGCAUGCUGGACGUAUCACAAGUGCGAAUGCUGACAUAAGUAACGAUAAAACGGGUGAAAAACCCGUUCGCCGGAAGACCAAGGGUUCCUGUCCAACGUUAAUCGGGGCAGGGUGAGUCGGCCCCUAAGGCGAGGCUGAAGAGCGUAGUCGAUGGGAAACAGGUUAAUAUUCCUGUACUUGGUAAAGCUGCGAUGUGGGGACGGAGUAGGUUAGGUUAUCGCACUGUUGGAUAUGCGUUUAAGUUGGUAGGUGGGAAGUUUAGGCAAAUCCGGACUUCCUUAACACUGAGAGAUGAUGACGAGGCUCUACGGAGCUGAAGUAACUGAUACCACACUUCCAGGAAAAGCCACUAAGCGAAAGGCUUUACUAAACCGUACUGAAAACCGACACAGGUGGUCAGGUAGAGAAUACUCAGGCGCUUGAGAGAACUCGGGUGAAGGAACUAGGCAAAAUAGCACCGUAACUUCGGGAGAAGGUGCGCCGGCGUAGAUUGUAAGGGCUAGCCCCUGAAGGUUGAACCGGUCGAAGAUACCAGCUGGCUGCAACUGUUUAUUAAAAACACAGCACUCUGCAAACACGAAAGUGGACGUAUAGGGUGUGAUGCCUGCCCGGUGCUGGAAGGUUAAUUGAUGGUGUAAUCGAAAGAGAAGCUCCUGAUCGAAGCCCCAGUAAACGGCGGCCGUAACUAUAACGGUCCUAAGGUAGCGAAAUUCCUUGUCGGGUAAGUUCCGACCUGCACGAAUGGCAUAAUGAUGGCCAGGCUGUCUCCACCCGAGACUCAGUGAAAUUGAAAUCGCCGUGAAGAUGCGGUGUACCCGCGGCUAGACGGAAAGACCCCGUGAACCUUUACUAUAGCUUGACACUGAACAUUGAAUUUUGAUGUGUAGGAUAGGUGGGAGACUUAGAAGUAGUCACGCCAGUGAUUAUGGAGUCGUCCUUGAAAUACCACCCUUUAACGUUUGAUGUUCUAACGAAGAUUGCGGAACGCGGUCUCGGACAGUGUCUGGUGGGUAGUUUGACUGGGGCGGUCUCCUCCCAAAGAGUAACGGAGGAGCACGAAGGUUUGCUAAUCACGGUCGGACAUCGUGAGGUUAGUGCAAUGGUAUAAGCAAGCUUAACUGCGAGACAGACAAGUCGAGCAGGUACGAAAGUAGGUCAUAGUGAUCCGGUGGUUCUGAAUGGAAGGGCCAUCGCUCAACGGAUAAAAGGUACUCCGGGGAUAACAGGCUGAUACCGCCCAAGAGUUCAUAUCGACGGCGGUGUUUGGCACCUCGAUGUCGGCUCAUCACAUCCUGGGGCUGAAGUAGGUCCCAAGGGUAUGGCUGUUCGCCAUUUAAAGUGGUACGCGAGCUGGGUUUAGAACGUCGUGAGACAGUUCGGUCCCUAUCUGCCGUGGGCGUUGGAGAAUUGGUUGGGGCUGCUCCUAGUACGAGAGGACCGGAGUGGACGCACCACUGGUGUUCCGGUUGUGUCGCCAGACGCAUUGCCGGGUAGCUAAGUGCGGAAGAGAUAAGUGCUGAAAGCAUCUAAGCACGAAACUUGCCAAGAGAUGAGUUCUCCCAGAUUUAAAAUCUGUAAGGGUUGUUUAAGACUAAGACGUAGAUAGGUGCGGUGUGUAAGUGAUGUGAGUCAUUGAGCUAACGCAUACUAAUUGCCCGAGAGGCUUAACUAUACAACGCUCAAG
RNAcentral lists this ribosomal RNA (1769 nucleotides) under Haemophilus haemolyticus. RNAcentral describes it as "partial 23S ribosomal RNA". It matches the Rfam family "Bacterial large subunit ribosomal RNA", at positions 1183 to 2925 of the family's 2925-position model. Lineage: Bacteria; Pseudomonadati; Pseudomonadota; Gammaproteobacteria; Pasteurellales; Pasteurellaceae. The record is from RNAcentral.